GAAAUGCGAUACGUAGUGUGAAUUGCAGAAUUCCGUGAAUCAUCGAAUCUUUGAACGCAUAUUGCGCUCGAGGCUUCGGCCAAGAGCAUGUCUGCCUCAGCGUCGGGUAUACCCUCACUCAACCUCUCAUUGUGAGAGACCAGAGUGGACCUGACCGUUGCAGGGCCUCGACCAGAGUAACAUCUGGUUGGCCAAAGGACCUGCAUCGGUUGAAGUGCAGAGGUUAGCUCAAGGACCCGCUAUGGGCCGCAACUGGGUGGGCAGCUUCACCGCUCGCUAUAAUCUUAGUUGUUGGCUUGGAUCUCUGAGCUUGACCCUCAAUCAGGAAUAUAUACCUACCAUCUCGACCUGAGCUCAGGCAAGGCUACCCGCUGAACUUAA
RNAcentral lists this unclassified non-coding RNA (381 nucleotides) under uncultured fungus. RNAcentral's name for it is "sequence contains ITS1". The stretch from base 1 to 105 matches the Rfam family "5.8S ribosomal RNA", at positions 50 to 154 of the family's 154-position model. The record is from RNAcentral. Lineage: Eukaryota; Fungi.